Molecule: long non-coding RNA, 10451 nt
Organism: Homo sapiens (human)
Lineage: Eukaryota; Metazoa; Chordata; Mammalia; Primates; Hominidae
Exons: 2
Source: RefSeq, a predicted model, not a curated record
UUUUUUUUUUUUUUUUUUUUUUUUUUUGAGACAGAGUCUCGCUCUGUCGCCCAGGCUGGAGUGCAGUGGCGCGAUCUCAGCUCACUGCAAGCUCUGCCUCACGGGAUCACGCCAUUCUCCUGCUUCAGCCUCCCGAGUAGCUGGGACUACAGGCGCUCACCACCACGCCUGGCUAAUUUUUUUGUAAUUUUAGUAGAGACAGGGUUUCACUGUGUUAGCCAGGAUGGUCUCGAUCUCCUGACCUCGUGAUCCACCUACCUUGGCCUCCCAAAGUGCUGGGAUUACAGGCGUGAGCCACUGCGCCCGGCCAGAGGCAGGUCUUAAAACUAGCAACUGGGUGAGAAAUCAGUGGGGAGGGUAGGCUUUGACAAAGUAAGAGAUAAAGAGUCUGCUUUCAUAUUUUAGAAAAACCCAGGGAAUGCUGAAAAGCCCAUAGGAAAGAAGAAAUAUGCUGUCAAGAUGUUAGUGAGCCAAGGCCCAGGAGUUUGCUCUCAAAAACAGAUGAGAAACUGGACUUAAAAUCUGACUGGGAGAAAGUACUUUAGGCAAAACAAACUACUCAUAUACAAAAGGAUGGGCUCUGAAGCAGAGAGUGAAGGCAAUAGCUUCAAGAUCGGUGGAUUUAAAACCUAGAAGUAUCUUCUCUAAAAGAUAAAAGAUUAAGAAAGGCUUUAAGAUAGCUAGAGCAGGAAUAAAGUAGUCAAGUGAAUGUGAUACCACAAGGUUCCAGAAGUUUCCAUACUAAUAGAAACAGAUACUAAGUGAAGUUUGAGGGGCCCUCACAAUCUGGAUAGAAAACUCUUCAAGUAGAUCUCAACCUUCAGGCUGGAAUAUCUUUGCUUAGCUAUCCCAGCCAGAGGACCAUAGUGGUUGAUUUCAAAAGGAGUUGCAAUUAUUCUAUCUUGUAAAUUCUCUCAUUGUUAAGUUUUGUCACAGUUUGUUGUUGCUACUUUCUUUCAGUUACCUAGAAAAUGUUUUCUCUGAAAACCUCUAUCCAUGCCUCAACAGAUCGGAGAUAAAAAAGGAAUCAUCUUACAAGAUUAUCAAGAAAGAUAAUGGGCUAGGUGUAUCCUUAAAAGGUCAUUCAAAUGAAAUAUUAAAAUUCUUACUUUUCUGUGUUAUUCGGACAUGGAAUAACAAUAACAGUUAAUGUUUAUUUGGUGCUUACUCUGUAUUUGGUACCAUUUCAAGAGUUUUAUAUGCAUUAUUUGAUCUUAAAAAACAACUCUUUGAGGAAGUUACUACUGUCUCCAUUUUAUCAGUGAAUGAACAGAGAUAGGAAGUCUGGCUCCAAAGCCCACACUCUUAACUAUUAUGCAAUAUUAGUUGUCAAAUGUCUUGAAAAAAAAAUCUGUGUAAUUACUAAAAUAUUACGCUGGGCUACUUAUUAAGGUAAAAUUACGUUUCAAAAAAAUUAAUCCUUUCCAAAUGCAAUGUUAACUAUUCAUGAUGAAAUAUCAGAACUAUCUCUAAUACCAAUAUUUUUAUUGGAAUAAAAUAGGAGGUUAAAGGAAAUGUUUAUAUAUAUAAAUGUGUGUAUAUAUAUGUAUAUACAUAUAUAUAUACUAUGCACACACACACAUACAUAUCUAUGUGUAUAUAUAUGAUUUUUUGCAAGGGCAAAAACCAGAUUUUUUUUAAACACAUAAUCAUUAAAUCUGCAAAUAUCAAGUUUAUCAAUUUUUUGUUACAGGAAAAAAUAGUUUAUUAUAAAUUCAAUGCAUAGCAUUUUCUGGUUUAGACCUUUCCAUUAUUGUUCUGACAGAACAAAGACUAUGAGGUUGUCAGAAAUAAAUUGUUCAUUUUGUUUCCUAAAUAUGUGGCAAAGACAUUGUAUGUUUUUUGUUUGUUUGCUUGUUUGUUUGUUUUAGAAUAGUUUGAAAUGUCUUCAAACCUUUUGACCAACCAAGAAAGCUUUUGCCUGGGCACAGGCUUUAUCUUUCUUAGCAUUACACUAGAGAUACUAAUCCCUCCCAACAAUUUCAUUAUGAUUAUCGCAAUAAAAUAUAACGAUCCAUUAAGUCCAUGGGGCAGAUGUUUAUUUAUUUAUAACCAUGCCUUAUUCCACAGAGAAUUUAAAGAGGAAUAAAAGAUUAUUUCCUCAUUGCAUCAAAUGAAUAUCUUUUAUUUUGUCUAAUGUUGUAUUUCUUUUUCUUUAAUUGGCACUAAAUGUUUAUUUGCAUUCUUUUAAUUACUUUUAAGGCAUCCAUUAUUUCUGGAUUACAUUACUGAACUCUCAAUAAAUCAAUACAUAGUUCUGUAUAUAAUUUUUUCAACAUUUUUUCCUUCUUUAAUUUGGUUCAUUUGUAUCUCCCUUUGCUGUUUAUUGAGUAGAAAUUCUGAUUUUUGUAGCAAAGGGAGAACAAACAAACAACACACAGAAUAUUCUGUAUUUAAUGCUGCAAUUGUCUCUAUGGUUGCAAUGUGUAGGUGGGGUGCAUUCAAGUGGGCUUGUGGUAUUUGUGUGUGUGUGUGUGUGUAUGUGUGUGUGUGUGUUGGAAGAAUAUAUAUUGAGGAUGAUUCCUAAUUUUAUCACUUUGUUGAGGAACUGAAAUUGUGGCUACACAUUCACUCUAAAUAUUUUGUCUCACAGUCCCCUCCCUUCAACAAUUAUAUACAGUACACUAUUUGUUGGAAGCUCAGGAGAAAAAGGGCAUUUAAGAGCAUGAGAUUUGGUGGCAGACUGACCUAAUAGUAGAUGGUACCAGUGAGAUCUUGAGCAACGUAAAUGUUUCAACUGAAAAACGAAAACCUUUUUUUGGAAAGAAUCGAAACUAAAAACCCAACUAUUUAAAAAAUGGAAACUUUUGGCCGGGAACGGAGGCUCACACCUAUAAUCUCAGCACUUUGGGAGGCCGAAUGGGCGGAUCACAAGGUCAAGAGAUUGAGACCAUCCUGGCCAACGUGGUGAAACUCCGUCUCUACUAAAAAUACAAAAGUUAGCUGGGCAUGGUGGCACAUGCCUGUAGUCCCAGCUACUCGGGAGGCUGAGGCAGAAGAAUCGCUGGAACCCAGGAGGCGGAGGUUGCAGUGAGCCGAGACAGCACCACUGCACUCCAGACUGGCGACAGAGUGAGACUCCAUCUAAAAAAAAAAAAAAGGAACCUUUUGCCUUACUUCGUUUGCUAGCUACAUUCAAGUCUGCAAUUAAGCUCGGUGUUUUGCCUUUCUCAAACUGUGCACAGGUCCUCUUGUUUGUUCCCCUUCUCUCUGUUGCCUAGGAAUACAGCCAAAAACUUGAGUAAUAGAUGAUAGAUGGGUCUGUCACUAAGCACAUCCUAGUGACAUAGAUAAGAAGCAAAUGCUACAAAAUUAUAGGUGCAAACUACAAGUUGUGUUUUAAUUGGUUUUAACAAGUACUUAUAAGCAGAAGAACUGUGAAAAAUCUAACAUUUUGUCCUACUUGCAAGCCUGCCAGUCUUUUGAGUGCUGGGCAAAGACACAAUAGUGCUGGGUCAGAGACAAUUAACUUUACUACUCACAUUAAUAGCAUUAGCAAGAGUAUCAUGAUUUUCUUGCACUGAUUCCUCAAGCCGCAAUUCCCACAGAAAAGCUCAGGUGACACCUACAUGCUCAGUGGGUUGCAUUAGAAAAGAGGAACGCAGAGCUCAGGAAACAUGGAUAUUUUAUAAUGGCCAGUAAAGAUGUCCCUUUGCUUUAGAAAGAGGCACUACCUCUAUCCAAGGCUGCAAGCACACCUGCCUUUUGUUUUAGAAGGAGAAAUGAUUUCUAUCUUCCAAGGCUGUUCACUAUAUGAAAAGACAGUCCCAAACAAAAGGCAGUUACUGACUUGCUUGAAAAAUGUGCAGAAAUGAUACGCUGCUUGAAUGUGGACAGCUGACACAGGGACAAGGAGUAAAAAUGAUUAGGUUUUGAGCUUGACCAACUAGGAAGAUAAUUAUUAGCAGUAGAGAAAAAAAGAACAAAGUAGAUUUUAGGGCAGAUAAGCCAUUUUUUAGGUAGGUUGAGUCUGAGAUGCCUCCAUAAAUAUAAGUUGAAAAUAUGAGAUUGGAGUUGAGACUUCAGAAAUACAUAUUUUGAGUAGUUACACUACAGAGGUAAGUCAUCAGAGUUCAUAAAAUUAAAGUGAGAAAAAGAGGCAAGUGAAGAAAAACAAGAUGGCAUUGCAUGAAGAACUUUCUUAGGAAGGAAGGCAGCAAAGAGGUAAAAUUGGAGGUGUAGUCAGAGAUGGAAGAUGAAAAAGGAAAAUAACAAUAUUUCAGAAAUGAAAUGAAAAAGGUCUUUUACUAAGUAAUUGGUACUACUACUUGUCAGUUUCAAGUGCUGUAAAAAAAAUGGGAAGAACCACACAUGUGCACUUUCAGUACUAUGUAUUUUAUGCUUCAGGGAUGCAUACCUGUUUAACAAAAGUAUGUUUUUUCUCAAAGUGUGUUGAAUAGUCCAGAAAAAGAUGGAGGUAGAAGUCAGACUUCAGGAGAUAAAGGAACCAGAAAGAUCAUUGAAGGCUGUGAUGGUAGAAAACAUUUUGACAAAGAGUUGUGCAAUGAGAAAGCUAGGGGUGGGACAAUUAAUUUUGAGGGUAACAAUUGGGGAUUUGAGUAGAUUUUUUGCUUCUGUUCUUUAAUUGUUUUGUCUUCUUUUUAAAGAAACCAAGAGACUGUUAAUGUAGUAGGAGCAGAGUUUCACAAUACAGAGCAGAGAGGGUGUUGGUUGAUAAAGAAUUGUCUCAAAUGAGAGGAAAAGAAUGGAGCCAAUAACAGAGAUGAUGUUUAAUUUGGGAAAGGUGGGACAUGUUAACAUGAGUCCAGAGAACUAAAAUGAGCUUAUGGCAUGCAGAUGCUGAAGAUGAAGAAAGGAAAGGAAGGAAAAGGAGGAAUUUAUAUUUAUUUAUUGAAUAAUCUUGUAAAACUGUUAAUCACCCCUUUUUACUGACGAUAAGACAUAAAUGUCAGAGGUGUUUUGCCUAAAGUAAAAAAUUCGAUAGUCAAGCUGGGUUUAAAACCAUAUCAGUCUUACGUCAAAGCAUGUUUUAAUUGCUGUUGUGUGGUUGUGAUUUUAAGGGAAGAAGAAGAGUUUUAUAAUGGGUUCUCUGAAAAAUAAAAUAUCAAUUAGAAAGAAACAAAACAACUGCUGAGAAGCAGUGAAUCCAAGCAGAAUCUGAGUAUCAUCACUUUUUAGUUAAACUAACCAGUCCAAUAUCCUGAUUUUUCUUUAACAGGCAAAGAAUUUUUGAGUCUUUCCCAUAGACUGAGUUCUUGUGAACUAUUUUACAGCAAUAAUGGCAUCCAAUCCUAUAGAUAACAAUAACAAAGCUGCAGACCAUUUUGUUGCCAGGUUUCUCCUCCAGGGUGGCUUUCCAGCUAGUUUGUAAACAAAUAACUCAGGUGGCCCUGUCAUGUUACAUUAACUAAAAACCAAGUCUAAAGCACACAUAUAAUAACAUAUGUGUGUGCAAACUGGCUUGCUUUCAAAUUCCUAAAUCAUACAAUUAAAUUUUAAAAAUAACUGUAUUUGGAAACAAGAAAAAAGUCACUUUGACACCCAACUGAUGUAUAUAAAGGAGACUGUGCAUAUGGGUUUUAAAAUGAGAUGAAAAUUGAAAUUUGAUCUUUGAGAUUAAAAACAAUGUUAUGUAAAUCUAUUUUUAUUUAAUUUUUCUGAAAAAUAUUGUAUUUGCUUUAUACCCUCUUGCUAUACAAACUUAUAUUGUUUUGCUUACCCUCUUUUUUUAUUCCUCCUACUUUUUCUUAAUUUUGAUAUCUCUGAAUUUAAAGUCUAGAGAAUGAUUCAUCUUCACUAGUUCUAUCUUUUCCAGUGCUAGUAUUUUUGUUUUUGAGCUGUGGUUUCCCUAUCCCAUUUUUGAGAUCUCAAACUAUAAUUUGGUGUCGAGUACCCAGGUAUCUUAUCUUUAAAGUGAAGACGUAGGCAGCACAAAGGUGCUUUUAUUAGAACGUCCACUAGAUCAGAAUGACCAGUGCACAAAAUUUAUUUUCCUAGCAGACUCACCAAAUUUAACCUGGAAGAGAAUGUCUGACUCUGUUGAAUUUUCUUAGGCAAAUACAAUAUUUGAAAGUCACUGAAUGUUUCAAACAAAAUAUAACAACAUUCAGAUAACAGAACUGUGUUAUUGUUCUCAUGUGUUUAUGCCCAGAAAAUAAGCAGACUGGAGCUUCUCUAAGAUUAAAAGUCAAAACAGUAUUACAAUUCCAGCCCAGAUUUGACUAUCUAAUCAUUUAAACCUUAGUAUCAUCAUCAUCACCACCGUCACUGCAUACUCAUUAAGUUAAAAAAAAUUCCUUUAAAAUAAAUGGAAAAGAAAAUAUCUGUGUAAAUAGAUUAAAGCGAUUCCUGCUCACCACUCCCUUUCUCCCUGGGGCAGGAGACUUGAGCACAUCAAAGGAACUCAUAGCGUUCUUGGAGUAAGUGUGAAAGCCACCGUGAUGAACUAAAUGAAUGCUUACAUCUAAAGAAAGAUGUAAACAUAUUACAUUAAAAGGUGGCAUGACAUAAUGGUAUAUCACUGAUUAAGAAAUGUGAGGCGACUUUCAUGUGCCACUGAUAAAUCAUUAUAAUUUGACAUAGUAGAUAAUGCCCCUAUAUUUCAUCUGCAUACCUGGAAAAUGAGGACUUUCAAAACAUAUUCCUGCCAGUUACAGUCAGGUAUUGCAAAACAAGCAUUUAGUGAGCAUCUAAACUGAAGCUUAGAACUUCAGUUUUGUGGCGGGGCGCGGUGGCUCACGCCUGUAAUCCCAGCACCUUGGGAGGCCAAGACAGGCGGAUCACUUGAGGUCAGGAGUUUGGGACCAGCCUGGCCCACAUGGUGAAACCCCAUCUCUACUAAAAAUACAAAAAUUAGCCAGGCAUGGUUGCACGCACCUGUAGUCCCAGUUACUCAGGUGGCUGAGGCAGAAGAAUCGCUUGAACCUGGGUGGUGGAGAUUGCAGUGAGCUGAGAUCCUGCCACUGCACUCCAGCCUGGGCAAGAGAGUGAGACUCCAUCUCAAAAAAAUAAAGAACUCCAAUUUUAUUUUCUUCAUGGCAUAGCAUAAUAGAUGAGUUAACAAAUUAAUGAAACAGAUUGACAUGUGUUAAUUGCAAUCAUAUACAGAACAGAAAUCAUUUCCAUAAAAUAUUUAACCUGCCUGUUACUUCCCCUAAAUCUCUCUGUAGCUGAUGCCCCAAUUUCACUAUUAGCUCUUCAGACUUGGAUGUUAAGCACUGUGCCUUCCCCUGGACCUCUCUUUAAAUGUCACAGCUAUUUCUGGCAGGUAAGACUAUUGCUUUGGUUAGUGUGAACACACACCACUGUGGAUCACAAGGCACCUGAGAGAAAAGGCUGCCGAAAGCAGGAAAAUAACUCAGAAAAAAGAAAAAAAAACACAUGGUGCUGAAAAAUACAACAGAUAUGCAUUUGUAUACUUAUGAUCUAAUUUAUGUCAGUCAUUAAAAGAAAAUAAGGUGUUUAGAAAAUACAGUGCUGUCUAUGGUUAUAUUUAAUAUUGUGACCACUUAAUACAAAGCAAAGCAUUCUUGCUUGCUCUCAUGGAGAGUGCAAUUUAGAAUUGAGAGCUCAAUUUCUAAGGAGGGUUUAUGUACUCUAUCUUGAGGCACACCAAGGAGAUUGAGUUUACCAGUUUAGAAAGCACUGCCAUAAUUCAAGUCAGGGAGAGGGCUGAUGGAAGAUUUUUAAAAGAUUUUAAAAGAUCAUGAGGGCAAGCUGGCUUUUAACAAAACAAAAUAUUUCCAUGUGGCUUCUGGCUGACUGAAUUAAUAAGGCCCAGAGACUGAUCUGAAGGCAAAAGCCUUUAUUUUUUAUUGCAAUGGAGAAAAACUGAACAUUAUUUGACUAUCAGUUGUGAAGUUUAGUAAAAAGAUUUUCACUAAUGGGUGGUUUUAAUAUUUAUGAAUGUGAUGGUUCAGCAAAUUUUCUCCAAUGUUUUGCAAGACCACUAAUUAAUAAUCAUCUUUACAAAUGGAACAUGUAAUUGUCUGCUACUAUUUUUUCUUUGCCAAUGCUUAAUACUUAUUUUGAAUACGUUUUAUUUUUUUUCUAAAUUUCUCUAUUUAUUUCUACCUGAGCAUUUCUUAAUUUUUUUAUUCAGUCCUGUUAUUCUCACUGUAGGAUUUUUAAAAGCUGGUAUAUUAUAUUAAAAUCCUUCAACUGUGAAUUCAGCAAUGUUUUGAGUUCCAGGGAUUCAUCUGGCAUUAGGCUGACCUUGUCAAGCAUAAACAUCAACAUUAAAGAAAAUAUUUAAGAAAUGAAAGGCCUGAAUCAAAAUAAGAGGUCAAAUUUUCCAGGGUGUUUUGUGUCUUGAAAAUCUUUCUGCUGUAAUUACCUAAAGACUGUGGUUAGAUAAUUAUUGAGGGACUUUUGCAAUUGUCCCUUUUCUCUAUAUAGAUCACCACAUUAAUUAAACGAGAGUCUCACUGGGAACAGGUUGCUGUUCUGCAUCUUUAAGUAUUUUUAGUACUUUAUUUUCAAAAGAGAAAAAGAACCACUAAGAAGAAGAUUGCUUCUCAGCCAAAUUUUCUGAUAUACAGAUAUUCUCAAAAGACAAGCACACACACACACGCACACACACACACACACACACACACACACACCCCCCAAGGCUCUGGAAUGUGCCUUAACAAUCUUAUUUUUGCACAUUUUAAAAGGAGGUCAUUAUGAAAUUUGCACAUAUUUUAUGACCUGUAAUGUACUUCUCUGAUCUGAUUUCACUUGAGCUAAUAAAAAAAUACAAAUCAGGUGCUUGCUGUGAUCAAGAUGCUAAAGUUAUAUUUACACUGCUUCAUAAAUGUAAGGUGUUAAAGCUUAGUGAGACAAGAAGUAAACUGAUAAUUGAUUAACCAGGGUGCUAUACAAAUCUACCUAGAGGGUGCCUUCCCAGGUUAAUGCAAUUAUGGGAGAAAGAUCCUGGCUCCUGGCUACAGAAAUGCCAACUAAAGUGUUAUCCACCCCAUCCUUCACUUUGGAGGAUGCGUUAAGAUGACACUGUGCUGUGUCAAAAUGAAAAUACAAACAAAAGCAAAUAAACCGAGUGAUAAUAAAUAAACCGAGUGACUCAGUUUCCUUAUCCAUUUUCCAGUUACCUUUUUUUUUUUAGGCCAGUCUGCAUGUCCACUAGAAGAAAAGGGACCUGGGUUCUUCAUCAGCCCAUCCUUAGAUCUUAGUGCACAUAUGCACCUAGUAAGUGCCGAGCAAAUAUUCAAUGAAUGACUGUACCUUUCCUAAGAAUUCUUCGUUGAUUAUCCUUCAACAGAGCUAACUUCUCUCCCUAUGUGCUCAGUCAAAUGCUCUCCCAUUGGACUGAGUUCAGCAUAAACUGCCAUGUUUUGAGAUGAUUGGUGUAAGCGAAUGUCCUCUCCUGAGUUGCGAGAAUCUAAGAGCAGGACAACAUCACAUGCUUCUCUACUUUCUAUAGUUCUUUUGUCCACUGUCUAACAAAUAAUGCCAAGUGAAAAAGGGAAAAAUGAAUGAAUAAAUUUUGUAAGAUGCCAAUGGAAAAAAACAGAAAAUCAAGAGUUACUAAAAAAAACCACUAACUCCAUUUAAUUGUUUUAGACUAAGAAUCCCUCAGUGAUACCUAGCCAAAAUUAGGAUUCAGAUCCAAAAUAAAAGAUACUGUUGCCCCAAGUAGAUAUCAUAAUUUGUUACAAUAAGUAAAAAUGUAUAUUAUUCAAUACUAAACUGUUAUACCACAUUUCAAGUUUUUAAAACUUUAUCUUCCUUUUAUGCAUAGAUAGUAGUAGAGCAUUAAGAACAUGCAUGGCUAUCACCUGAGGUGUUGAUUGUAAAUUCACAUUCCUAGGCUUUGUCUCUUAACUACUGAAUCGGAAUCUUUGGGAGUGAACUGACAGGAAUCUGAAUUUUAAAAAUAAGGUCUUCAGGUGAUUCUCAUGCAUCUAAAGAUAACUGCUUUAAUAUAUAACAAAGAAACCCAAAGAGGGACACUUGAGGAUUUUUUCAAUAUAUCUUCUUUUGCAGAGAUUAAUAGUGAAUGUUGUUUUAUCUGCUGUUUAGAAUUUUACAUAUGCAUUGGAUGAUACAUCUUCUUUUACUGACAAAAAGGCUUUUCUCUGGAGAAAAUAAAAAGGCAGCUUUCCCUGAGAGCACACACUUCUAGCAAAGCCCCAAUCCAUAUGACUCUAAGACAGAGUGAUUUCCACCUUCUAGUCCUUACUUUCUUGCAAAAGGGGCUUUCAAAUCUCAUUACUGAUGGUCCCAUCUUUUAUUACUGGUGUUAUCAAUGGGAUGCUUGCAGCAGCUUAAGUAUGUGGAUAAAGAAGGAAUGCACAAUAUACGGUACUGAAUAUUUUUAAAAAGUGGUCUUUCAGAAUGUCUGUAUGUGUGGGGGCCCAUGCUUAGGCAUAUGUGCAUGCCAGUGUGUUAUUUAUGUUGAAACCAAUGUUUUACAUUAAUGGCUGGAAUUCCAGAAAAAUAAGAAAAUAUUUGUAUUUUCUAAACCAUUAAAAGUUUAGUGGAACUCA